AACGAACGCUGGCGGCAGGCUUAACACAUGCAAGUCGAGCGCCCCGCAAGGGGAGCGGCAGACGGGUGAGUAACGCGUGGGAACGUACCUUUUGGUUCGGAACAACUCCGGGAAACUGGAGCUAAUACCGGAUAAGCCCUAACGGGGAAAGAGUUAUCGCCGAAAGAUCGGCCCGCGUCUGAUUAGCUAGUUGGUGAGGUAACGGCUCACCAAGGCGACGAUCAGUAGCUGGUCUGAGAGGAUGAUCAGCCACACUGGGACUGAGACACGGCCCAGACUCCUCGGGGGGGCAGGAGGGGGAAAUAGUGAACAGGGGGCGCAGGCCUGACCCACCCGUGCCGGGGGAGGGAUGAGGGCUUUAGGGUUGAAAAGCUUUUUUGUCGGGAAAGAAAAUAACGGUACGGAAAAAAAAACCCAGGGCAAACUUCG
Molecule: ribosomal RNA, 429 nt
Filed under: uncultured bacterium
Lineage: Bacteria
Description: partial 16S ribosomal RNA
Rfam family: Bacterial small subunit ribosomal RNA
Source: RNAcentral